CGCUCUCUCUCUCUCAAUAAUUUUAGCUGAUAAUAUAAUUUCUUAUUGCCUGAAAACUUGAUUAGAUAGUUUAAUCUGGAUCAAGAUCAAUCAGUUAUAACUACAGAUAUCAAUCAAUCUGUUUGAAUCAUCUUGUCCUUUAUUUUUAUACUUUCCGAGGUCAUGAUUGUUUUAAUGAAGGGAUAGGGCUCCAUGAUGAUCAAUUUAUGACUUUAUUUUUUAUUUUUUAAAUGGAUCAUAACCUGACUCUCUUUUAACUUAUGGAAGUUUCAUCUGUUGUAUUUAUAUUUUUUACACCAGGUUGAAGAAAUUGUUUUCCUUUGAUGGAAAAAUCUUCCAUGACUGCAAGGCAUGGCUUAUUUUUUUAUAUUCGGGGAAUGCUUGAGUGUUAUCGGUUUCGUGGAGUUUUUGUAUUGUUAUUUUGGUUUCUACUGAUGUGGCCGUUGUAUUUUUUUUAUUCAACAAGAUUGUUAAAUUGAAGCAGUGGUAGUGGUUGUGAAAGAAGGAAAAUCAGAUGGUUGGAUUCAACCCUCUUCGUCGAGCAGCGGUAGGAAAUGUGAGGACGCAGCCCUGCCCUGCACACAUUUUGUUGAAGCAAGAAAAUCCUAGUCUUUCUCCCAAUCAAUUGUUGUUUAGGCUUUUUUUUUUUUUUUUUUGCUUUAAAUGGGAUUUAAUUGUGUUGGUGCCGCGUAGAAAGCAGCUCCACUCUUGGGACUGUGGCCGGCUUGUGUUUUGAUGAGAUUGAAUGCUACUGGCAUCAAUAAUUGCAGCAUUCAGGCCUUGGCAGGCUUAGGCUGCACUAAUAGGCCAGGCUCUUCCUUGCUUCUUGGGAAAUUUGGUGUUGUUCUUCCUCUGAACAUGUUAUAGCUUUAACUGCCAUACAAGGAAAUUACUUGAUCAUCUCGUGAAGGUGCUGACUGCUUCGGACAGCAUUUUUCCAAGUUGGAAAUUGUGGCUCCAAUUCCAUAUCUUGAUGUUCAAAGGCGGUAGAUCUGGCAUAUUUACUGCAGAAGUAUUCUGUUAGUUCUUCCCACUACACAGUAACACCCGGAGCAAAUCCAAACUAUUCAGUUGAGACAUUUUACAAGGUGAUAUUACAUGAUUUUGUUUCAAUUAUCUAUAUGCAUUGCUAUAGGGAAUUUUGAUGAAUUCUUGCAUUAUGCUUCUGUUUAUUUUGAUUGACCGAUGAUGUUUCCUGUGUUGUCUGAUUGUCAUUGUAACACUCAUAAGGUUUGGUUUAAAUUCAUGAAUGAACAACUGCCCACGGAUCUAGUGCAACUGGAUGUGUUAUUUCAAAAAGCACGAGUAGAAGGCAUUAAUAUACAGGUGUACGUCAUUCAUCUAUAAGCAUGUAAUUCAUAGUCAUCUAUCAUCAAGUGUUUUCUUCGUUUUGCAUGCUGGUUUUGUGUAGUUAAUAUGAUUAGUUUGUGCUGACAGCAAACUCAAAACUUACUAUUAUGAUGAUCUAAUCAUUUUUCAUUUCACUUAAAAGCCUUAUAUUCAUACACCCGCCACUAUAUCUACCUUUGUAAAUUUUAUGUCUUUUUUCAUGUCGAUAAUGUUUACGAACCUUUUCCUUUCUACAGUGCUGGUCAAUCAAUGAAAAGGAAAUUUCUCCUCAUAUUGUCGGGGAAUUAUUUUUCAAUAGCAUUGGUUAACCAGUACAAAUUGAGGUGUGGAUCUCGUUUAACAUCACAUUUCUUAUUAUUCUUUCUGGAAUUACUUUCUCCUUUAACUGUCAUGCGGCCAUUUUCUAACUGUCUUGUUUCUUGUAUGUUUUUCACUCCUUCAUGUGGUUUUGAAUUAACAUAUUCUAACAGAUGACCCUAUAGGAGAGGGGAAAAAACGCGGAAAAACUUAAUGUUAACUGUUUCUGGCAAAACAUCAUGUCACAGUCACUGUUGGUUGGAGGAUGUUAUUCAACUUAUUCUACCAGGCUUAACUGGUGGCAACUCAGGCUAUGCUGAAAAUCAUUGUCAUUCUUUGUAACGGAUAAACCUGUGAAAAAUAGUCACAGCUCAUGGCAUAGGCACGGCAGGUUAGAUCUUAUGCAUGUUGAUAUAAUUUUUAUGGGGAUGAAAAUUAUUUAUGACAGGGUGUGUUUGCAAUCAGAUGUUAAGAUGCUCGAGUUACCCAUUUUAGAUAUAGGGUAAGCUAUAGGAUGGCUUAUUUACUUCAUUUGAAUCUCAGUAAUGAUUGAGUUCUAGAAAGAUUAUGGCUCGUGAUCAGAUUGAAACAAAUCAUGAGGAUUUUUUGUGAUUUAUUUAUGCAUUAGGUCAUUACAUCGUGAUAUGUGGCUAUGAAGCUGGCCUAGAUGAGUUUGAGAUUUGGAAUCCUGCCACUUCUAUGAUUUACCUUUGAUUUCUAAUUUGUUUCAUAUUAAUUUUUUUUUGUAUUUAAAGUAAUUUAAUUUUUUGAUGUGAAAAAUAAAUUUUAAAAAAUAAAAAAUAUUAUUUUAAUAUAUUUUUAAUAAAAAUACUUUGAAAAUACAUUCUAGUUUCUGUUCUGAUUAUCAUAUCCGAUUUAGGAAAUAUCUUUUUAGAUGAGCAAAAUAUAGUCUUUUCCGCAUUUUGCAGAGGCCAUUGCCUAGUCAGGGCCCACCAAAAUGGGGUCCUAAGUGGGAAAAUUCGGAGAUAGUUUAAGUGGGGUCCCGCUCUUUUGCAUUUCUGCACGAUUCUUCGAGAAUCAAACCUGCAAUAUGGUGGCUGAAAGCACAAGAAACCACCGAGUUAGGAAUUACUUGCCCCUAAGAAUACUUCAUAGUCAGCCAUGGAUGUGCCAGGAAAAGAUGUGGCCCUAAUAUGAUGCCAAAAUUAGCAUAUGGAAGAAUAUAUCAUCUGAUUUUGUAAAAUCUAGUAAAGAAAUAAUAUAUUAUUUUAACUAACGUCCAGUUCUGUUUAGACGAGUUUAGUUGUGGAUAAUCAACAAAUGAUACCACAGAAAAAGAUUAACAUGUUACUAAAAUUUGUGCGGGAUUCGAUCCAUCUGAAAUACCACCUUGUAUACCUCCCCUGUGCAGCAUCGAGCCAUCCAUGGAGCACUAUUAGAAGACUGGGAAAAUGCGACAUUCGUUGCAACAACGUUCGUGAUUUUGUAAAUUAGUGCCUGGUAUCUCUGGGUUUUGACCCCGUUCAGCUAGAUCAUGAAAUUAGAGCUAUAAUCUUGGUCAUUUAUGAUCUGAUAGAGCUACUGAAAUUUUACUUUUACUUUUUUGUAAAUUUGAAAUUGUGUGCUUCCUAAUGACUUUAUGAUUGAGCAAUAAAUUUGAAUGCAGGAAAUAUGAGAGGAUAUCGUCAAAAUGCCAUGAAGAAGCACGCGAAUCCUUUGGCACCGAAGGAGAUCUUCUUCUGAUAAACAAACAUCAUCAAAUGUCUUGUAUUGUGCAUGCAUUUGAAGAUGCAAGAUUUGUAUGGUAUAGAGUUAAUUCAUCAUCCCAGCCAAAGAGGGUCUCUGAAGAAAAUUCAGAAACUCCCUUCAGCAUUCUCGCUUUUCAAGUGAUCAGUCUCAAGUCUCUAAUCUAGAACCUUGCAAGCCCUUGCUUCUACUGUCCUGUGAUAAGAUCAUGGAAAUCCAAUUCAUCAAGUUUUAUAGCUCUGCUCUUUUAACACUAGCAUUGUAAUUUAGCUACUAGUAUCAUUUUAAAAACUAAAAAGUGAAUCUGCUAUCAUAUAUUUUGCAUAAAGUGGUAUCCACUAGUGUUUUGGAGCAUGUAAUUGUUUGUGGUUAUGGGUCUAAUUUAACCUUGAGUCCAUUUUAGACAUAGAAGUUGAAGGAGUCUGAAGCAGACAAAACAAACUUCUUGUUCCAAAAAACAAAUUCAUCACCAGCUUUGCUAAUUAUCACCUUUUGCUGUUGAUUUUUCCAUUCAGAUCUCCCUGGAGAAUGCAAUGAGCGAAAGAGCUGCAUUUGAUGAUUUUCCUUGCUUCGGAUUGGCUAGCUCCAUGUAUAUUAUUAUACGUGUGUAUAACAUGAGCUUAAAGAAACUAAUAGUUUGCUCUUGAUUUCUUGCAUUUGUUCAUAAAUAUUUUUUCAAGCUAUAUUUUGAGCAUGGAUAUUAUUCUUGUAUGCUUGACUGGAUAAAUUAAAUCCCAGAAGCUUCUCAUUAUCUUAACCCGUGUUUCCAUUUUGUAAUUUAGAAAAAUUCCUACCUGAUGCCCCCCUUCUAUUUCGUUAAUCGUGUACUUAUUUACUAUGACUUGUGAUUGGUUUAAAACAGUUUGGACGUGACUAUUCUCCAAAAUUCAAGAUGUCCCAACUGGAUGAAACUGGGUUUUGUAGCUUGCAGGCUCGCCCUUUUCGUUUCUUGACGUUGCUUGCUAGUUCCCCAAACAGCUUGAGCAGCUAGGAAGUGCGUGCUGGCCUUAAAUGCGAUAUUUGUGACCCUCAUCUUUGAGAGCUCGUGACGGGCUUAAAUGCAUUGGUUGCGCAUGUAAAUCGACAAGCAAGUUUGGUGCACGGUGCAGUUAUGAACCAUCCAAAGGUUAGACUUCUAGUUGGCUAGUAUUCAUAAAAGAAGGUGAAUUCAGAUGGAUCAUUAGGAAUAAAUAAGCUUAUGCUUCUUGCUAAAUAAACUCAAUCUAUUAACAAUAGAAACCAAUUGCGCAA
Molecule: long non-coding RNA, 4605 nt
Organism: Populus trichocarpa (black cottonwood)
Lineage: Eukaryota; Viridiplantae; Streptophyta; Magnoliopsida; Malpighiales; Salicaceae
Exons: 5
Source: RefSeq, a predicted model, not a curated record